CAGGACAGAAGACCUGAACUACAGAGCCUCAGGGCAGAAAAGUAUCAGAUUCCCCCAUGGAUGAGUGGACAGCUGGUGGAAAGAGCUGUAUCUCCUUGUGACAUGUCAGGAUGGUCGCGACUGCUAUUCCCAGAUGGAACAGAGUUUUUACAAGGAUGGAGAUAUUGAGGUUGCUGCUUUUUUGCACAUUUACACAUAUGAUGUUCCCAGAAUUGAGAGAAGUUUCAGCAAAUAUCGCAGAUUCAGAUGGUUUCAGUCCAAAAACUACCAGUAUGUUCUGGCCUUGGUUUUCGCUAUUGAAGAGAUCAACAAAAACCCCUAUCUUUUACCCAACA
This is a non-coding RNA of Oryctolagus cuniculus (rabbit), 335 nucleotides long. Lineage: Eukaryota; Metazoa; Chordata; Mammalia; Lagomorpha; Leporidae. The record is from RefSeq and is a predicted model, not a curated record.